This is a long non-coding RNA of Bombus pascuorum, 2159 nucleotides long. RefSeq lists it as uncharacterized. The record is from RefSeq and is a predicted model, not a curated record. The transcript is spliced from 2 exons. NCBI's taxonomy places the organism in Eukaryota, Metazoa, Arthropoda, Insecta, Hymenoptera, Apidae.
UCUUGCGAACGAUGGGACGAAUGGUCGUGUACAGAGAAAGACAUAAACGUGCGUAUGGCAGGAACGUGGAAGAGUGGACCGGCGUGGUGAUUACGCGCUCGAGGCACUCUUGGAACAAAGCGCCCUCUGUCCUAGCGAACACGACGACCUAUCCCAACGCGUAGCAACUCGCGCGUGCACGCGUGUGCACCGUACACGCCAGACGCGAACGGAAUCGGGCUUGGCUGAAUGGUUUCGAACCGGGCCAUUCGUCGAUGUACGCGCGAAUAUCGACAAAAAUAUACCAACACAGCGUAGGAUCGCGUUCAUUCAACGCGAUUUCGAGCGGCGAUCGACGAUGCAUCGCAUGACAAUCUGCAACUCUGACUCAGCCGCGACAGUCAGGUUUACUCCGAUGAAAUGUACUGGAAUGUUUACGAAACGUCCGAACAAAACGCGGCGUACCGAUAACACUAUGGAAAUUCGAAGAACCAUAAAUAUGUCAUCGUGAAAGCUUGAAAUCUAAGAUAAUAAAUUGGUCAGCUUUAAAAUCCAGCGAACAUUGACUCGUCAUAGUAGAAGAGAGCGGCUUUUAGGCGGAUCAUUACCGGUAACCGACGUUGGUCGGACAAUGCCGAGCCUUGUCUCCUUCCUUCUCUUCUUACGUAUGUAGAUCGUUACGGUAGCCGACCUAGUCUUUAACCGCAUCGCUCGAGACGAAUGACGAGGUAGAAGAAACUCGACGAAACUCCGACAGUUCUCAUUGGUACGAGACUAUGCGGAUCGUUGUCCUCUGCUCGAAGCAAGCUUCUUCUCGAAACAGGUGUAGGUAACAGCGAAUAUCAACUAUCGUCGAACGUUCGCUUGUAUCGAGGUAACGUCCGAAGAAUGAUAUUUCAGUUGCGACUGUGAUAAGCUCGAAGUGUUUAUGGAUUACGAGCGAUAAAACUCUAUGCAAACUUACGAUGCUCGCUGACUACCAGUAAAAUGCUACUAAAUAGCUUCCAGCUAAUUAACGCCAGCUAUCGACCCAUCAUCGAUUGAUUGAGUUUCAAUGGUUUAUCGGCUGACUAAAACGAAUCAAGAAACUGUUUCUUCGAUUAAUUGUUAACACGUUUGUCAAUACAAUACCAGGAAUAUCUGUUUUGUCAGCAAUUAAAAUCUCCACAAAUCUUUUUCAUUACGUUUACUUUUGUUUCUUUACGAUACAAACUGUUUGCAACGAAUCGGUGAAAUAGUAUCAAUUAAGGAGAGUUUACGGUUUAAACGCCGACUCAUUUUAAUUAGUAUUAAUUAAAUUAGAAUAAAGUUAUAUCAUAAAUUCUCGUGACUUAUUUAUACCAAAUAUUAAAUAAUAUUUUUCAACUGGGUGUCGAGAGUUUCGAACCGCGAAAAUAGCACAAUGUUUCGAAACUAUCAUUUAACGUACUUUUUGACAGUACUUUGCUGUUUUGUUCAAUUAAUGAAAUUCGUAUAAACCAAGACGAAGAGUUAAAAAUUCAUGUGGCCUUAAAAAUGUUCACCGAUGCAACCAUCGCUGCGACUUAUUGAAAUCUCGGUCGAUUGGAACGAUCGCAGAUAAAAUAUUAAGAAAUCCGUGUCUCCGGGUGAAUUCGCAGAAAUUCUAGUUUCUCUUUGUCAAGUUUCGUAGUAACGCGUUUUACGCCGAGACACAAGGAAAUACAUGCGUGCCGGAAAGCGUAAGAGAGAGACAAAGAAAGUGAGAACGGUGAUAGAAUAACAGAAGAAAAAAGGGACGAAGCAGGGAUGCUGAAAGCCGAGAAGGACAAGAGACGAGAGUAAGAGCUGGCAUACGAAGCGUGGGUAUGCGCCACUUUGGAAUUAUGCAACGGGCAAGUUUUAGUGGGCCGUAUAGUUACGCCAUAAGGAUAGUCGUUCGUUUAUAGUCGCCUCCUGUUGUCUUUCGCGCACGGCGGUAUCUACUGGUACGUCUCCUUUGCGUAUUCUCCUACAACAGUACAAAAUCACAUUUCACCGUGUAAAAUAAAUCGUGUAUUUGUUGAACGUUGUCACAGUGAACAUGAAAUAAUAAAGCUGGGAACUGUGUUUGUUAACUGUUGUGAAAAUAAACAUAAAACGAUAUAAAGAUAGAAUCCGGAAGAUUAAAUAUAGUAGGUAAAUUGAUAAUAAAGCGGAAAUCUCUUCUUUCUCCGAUUUUA